Long non-coding RNA from Manis javanica (Malayan pangolin), 1201 nucleotides. RefSeq lists it as uncharacterized. The record is from RefSeq and is a predicted model, not a curated record. NCBI's taxonomy places the organism in Eukaryota, Metazoa, Chordata, Mammalia, Pholidota, Manidae.
GAGGGCGAAAGGGUGGGAAAAAAGAAAGGGAAAGGUGGGAUAAUAUAGCCAGGAGCGGCGGGGUUCGAAGGGAAGCUAGUCGCCUCGUCUAAAUUCAGCGCAAGCUUCUAGGGCAUAAAAACUGGUAGGGCCUCUAUGGGUUUCCAUUUCUUUUGCAAGUUUGAAACUGCGCCAGUCGCCUGCUAAGAUGAUAGCCACCUGGAAAUACAAUCUGAGUAAACGCAAUAGAAACUUCUAGGAAAACAAGGUUUAACCCUACUUCAAACAGCCCAGGAGAUUUUAAGGAGAAGAACCUAUAUCAAAAGGAGUUGAUACACAUCUGCUGAAUGAAUGAAGCCAAAGGAAAGGAAAGACCAUGUAAGAACACAGAGUAGGCCCCAGCCUGCAAGCAAGGAAGAGAGCUCUCCCAGAAAUCAACCCUGAUGGCACCUUGAUCUUGGACUUCUAACUUCCAGAAUGCUCUGAUAAACAUAGACCAGUAGAGGAUGAAGAGCCAAAGAAAAGUACCACUUCAUCUUCUACCUCAGAAGAAGAAAAGAAGAAGAAAUCUAGUUGCUCAAAAUAAAGGUCCAAGAAAAGGAGAAAGAAAAAAUCAUCUAAAAGAAAAUACAAGAAGUAUUCUGAUGAUAGUGACAGUGACUCUGAUUCUGAAACAGACUCCAGUGAUGAAAAUACCAAAAAGAAAGCAAGAAGGCCAAGAAAAAGGAAAAGAAGCACAGCCUGGCAGCUUCACAUCAGGAAGACAGCAUGAAGAAUGCCAAGGUCUGACUGCUUCUUUUCAAUGAUUCAUUAAUGUGGGACCAUCUCCUUCAUUUUGUUUCCAGCAACACUAAACCAAAGGUUCCCUUAAGCAUUUAAUCAUCAGGAACCAGGGUUCUUUCAAGGAUGCUGAAAUGAGGCCGAAUACAUUUGAAGGCAUGACUGUCAGUUCUGAGCUGGGCAAGGUGUUGGAUGCAAGACUAGCUAGUGAACUGUACUGUGUCCUUGUUGAUGCUUUGCCUGGUAAUAGAAUGAAGAAAUGUUAGUGUCCUCACAAAAAACCAUCAGUUGUCCAGCUGCUCUGCCCCCUCCUCACUUAAGAGUGUCACCCUGGUGAUGCAGGGAGCUGAGCUUGGCAAAAACUCCUUUUAAAGUCACACUGAGGGAAACAGACCCCUACUUGAAAAGCUUAUCUUCAGUCUGAAGUAACUAUUCAAGAGCA